GAUGAACGCUGGCGGCGUGCCUAAUACAUGCAAGUCGAGCGAACGGACGAGAAGCUUGCUUCUCUGAUGUUAGCGGCGGACGGGUGAGUAACACGUGGAUAACCUACCUAUAGGACUGGGAUAACUUCGGGAAACCGGAGCUAAUACCGGAUAAUAUUUUGAACCGCAUGGUUCAAAAGUGAAAGACGGUCUUGCUGUCACUUAUAGAUGGAUCCGCGCUGCAUUAGCUAGUUGGUAAGGUAACGGCUUACCAAGGCAACGAUGCAUAGCCGACCUGAGAGGGUGAUCGGCCACACUGGAACUGAGACACGGUCCAGACUCCUACGGGAGGCAGCAGUAGGGAAUCUUCCGCAAUGGGCGAAAGCCUGACGGAGCAACGCCGCGUGAGUGAUGAAGGUCUUCGGAUCGUAAAACUCUGUUAUUGGGGAAGAACAUAUGUGUAAGUAACUGUGCACAUCUUGACGGUACCUAAUCAGAAAGCCACGGCUAACUACGUG
This 497-nucleotide ribosomal RNA is filed under the name uncultured bacterium. Its description in RNAcentral is "partial 16S ribosomal RNA". It matches the Rfam family "Bacterial small subunit ribosomal RNA", at positions 28 to 507 of the family's 1533-position model. The record is from RNAcentral.